GGGCGAGUGGCGGAAUGGCAGACGCGAUAGACUCAAAAUCUAUUGAUCGCAAGAUCGUGGGGGUUCAAGUCCCCCCUCGCCCACCA
This 86-nucleotide transfer RNA is filed under the name Candidatus Vogelbacteria bacterium CG22_combo_CG10-13_8_21_14_all_37_9. Its description in RNAcentral is "tRNA-Leu". It matches the Rfam family "tRNA". From Rfam's summary of the family: Transfer RNA (tRNA) molecules are approximately 80 nucleotides in length. Their secondary structure includes four short double-helical elements and three loops (D, anti-codon, and T loops). Lineage: Bacteria; Candidatus Vogeliibacteriota. The record is from RNAcentral.